RNAcentral lists this unclassified non-coding RNA (199 nucleotides) under soil metagenome. RNAcentral describes it as "partial contains small subunit ribosomal RNA, internal transcribed spacer 1, and 5.8S ribosomal RNA". The record is from RNAcentral.
UCUCCGUUGGUGAACCAGCGGAGGGAUCAUUAUCGAGUUGCAAAACUCCAACCCGUGCGAACAUACCUCAGCCGUUGCUUCGGCGGUUUUUGGGUUUGGCUCAAAAGCCGCCGGAGGUUCCAAACUCUUGUUUUAUUUAGUGUAUCUCUGAGCCUGAAAACAAUAAUCAAAACUUUCAACAACGGAUCUCUUGGUUCUG